Molecule: ribosomal RNA, 490 nt
Filed under: uncultured bacterium
Lineage: Bacteria
Description: partial 16S ribosomal RNA
Rfam family: Bacterial small subunit ribosomal RNA
Source: RNAcentral
AUUGAACGCUGGCGGCAGGCCUAACACAUGCAAGUCGAACGGUAACAGGAAGAAGCUUGCUUCUUUGCUGACGAGUGGCGGACGGGUGAGUAAUGUCUGGGAAACUGCCUGAUGGGGGGGGAUAACUACUGGAAACGGUAGCUAAUACCGCAUAACGUCGCAAGACCAAAGAGGGGGACCUUCGGGCCUCUUGCCAUCGGAUGUGCCCAGAUGGGAUUGGCUAGUAGGUGGGGUAACGGCCCACCUAGGCGAGGAUCCCUUACUGGUCUGAGAGGGUGACCAGCCACACUGGAACUGAGAAACGGUCCCGACUCCUACGGGAGGCAACAGUGGGGAAUAUUGCACAAUGGGCGCAAGCCUGAUGCAGCCAUGACGCGUGUAUGGAGGAGGCCUUCGGGUUUUAAAGUACUUUCAGCGGGGAGGAAGGGAGUAAAGUUAAUACCUCUGCUCAUUGACGUUACCCGCAGAAGAAGCCCCGGCUAACUCCGUG